CAGCCGCCACGGUAAUACGGAGGGCGCGAGCGUUACCCGGAUUUACUGGGCGUAAAGGGCGUGUAGGCGGCCUGGGGCGUCCCAUGUGAAAGGCCACGGCUCAACCGUGGAGGAGCGUGGGAUACGCUCAGGCUAGAGGGUGGGAGAGGGUGGUGGAAUUCCCGGAGUAGCGGUGAAAUGCGCAGAUACCGGGAGGAACGCCGAUGGCGAAGGCAGCCACCUGGUCCACUUCUGACGCUGAGGCGCGAAAGCGUGGGGAGCAGACCGGAUUAGAUACCCCUGUAGUCCCUGUCUCUUAUAC
RNAcentral lists this ribosomal RNA (301 nucleotides) under uncultured bacterium. RNAcentral's name for it is "partial 16S ribosomal RNA". It matches the Rfam family "Bacterial small subunit ribosomal RNA", at positions 509 to 807 of the family's 1533-position model. The record is from RNAcentral.